UUCCCCUUCGGGGGACAAAGUGACAGGUGGUGCAUGGUUGUCGUCAGCUCGUGUCGUGAGAUGUUGGGUUAAGUCCCGCAACGAGCGCAACCCUUAAGCUUAGUUGCCAGCAUUAAGUUGGGCACUCUAAGUUGACUGCCGGUGACAAACCGGAGGAAGGUGGGGAUGACGUCAAAUCAUCAUGCCCCUUAUGAUUUGGGCUACACACGUGCUACAAUGGACGGUACAAAGGGCAGCGAACCCGCGAGGUCAAGCAAAUCCCAUAAAGCCGUUCUCAGUUCGGAUUGUAGUCUGCAACUCGACUACAUGAAGCUGGAAUCGCUAGUAAUCGUAGAUCAGCAUGCUACGGUGAAUACGUUCCCGGGUCUUGUACACACCGCCCGUCACACCACGAGAGUUUGUAACACCCGAAGCCGGUGGAGUAACCUUUUAGGAACUAGCCGUCGAAGGUGGGACAAAUGAUUGGGGUGAAGUCGUAACAAGGUAGCCGUAUCGGAAGGUGCGGCUGGAUCACCUCCUUU
Molecule: ribosomal RNA, 521 nt
Filed under: Staphylococcus simulans
Lineage: Bacteria; Bacillati; Bacillota; Bacilli; Caryophanales; Staphylococcaceae
Description: bacterial SSU rRNA
Rfam family: Bacterial small subunit ribosomal RNA
Source: RNAcentral